AAUAUGUCUAAUGGCAAAAAAAGCGAUAUGAUAAUAUGCUUCAUUGUUACUUUCUCGAACAACAAGCUGCCAGUAUACAUUAGGUGAACAACUAUGAUUCAUAAAUCGAGCAAUAUUUCCACCAUUUUUGGAACUUAUUACAAGGGGAAAAGGGACUUUCCGAGACUCAUCAUUAUAAUCAUGCACGGCUUCUAGUGGCUCAUAUAUACGGGUUGCAUCAAAAAUAUAAUUGUCAUCCCUGUCAUAACCAAUGUCCCUGACCUCUCCAGCAUAUUCACAAAUAAAACAGCCUCCUCUUAUAGGAUCCCAAGACCUAAGUCCCCAACCUUUAUUUUUUGUUUUAAAGACCUCCAUACGAACUUUAGGACCUCCUUGAGACAUACGAUUUCGGCAAUUAGCAGGGCACGAACAAGCUGAACCACACUCAUGUAUCAAGUUUUUGUAAGUCAUGAGAACCCCAAGUGAAUUAUAAGGCAAAAGGCCUUGAUUCCUCUGAAUGCAAGGGCAAUUGGUAUCAUCUGGUUGGCAGCCACCGAUGCACUGACAACCCAGAGAGGGUCUAGGCGUUAAGAAAGGUUUUGAGUACUUCAGACUAGGAAUAUAUGUGAAAUAGGCAGGUCCUUUCUCAUCAUCCACAUCAUUUACAAGACAAACUGCCUGACUCUCAGCACCAGAUGUCAGGUCUGGUAAGAUGACUCCAACACGUGAUACCACACCAUCCCUCCAUUGUUGAAUUGACUUCCACACUUUAAAUGCUUCAGGCUGCCCAGGUACUCUCAGAAGUUUGUACUUGAAAACAUUGCAGCCCGUCUUGUUUUUCUCUUCCCAUGAUCCCUGAAUCUUAUAAAGUCCGUCAAAAAUAUAGAUCUUCCCAGUUGGAUUUGCAACAUCCUUAACACCCCUAAUCACUCUUACAUCAUUGGCACGAUGCACACUCUUUUCCAAAGCAAGAUUUCCCUUUUCAAGUUUCUGAUCAAACAUUUGCCCGUCCUUCCUCUGGACUCCACCUUGGCCAGUGUAAAUUAACAGGUCUCCAUCACCUCCAUCAUCGUCAUAUCCUCCAGCAGACACUAUGCUGACUGCAAGAGGUUCUUCAUCCUUCGUUAGUUUGAGA
This 1114-nucleotide unclassified non-coding RNA is filed under the name Hevea brasiliensis (rubber tree). The record is from RNAcentral. Lineage: Eukaryota; Viridiplantae; Streptophyta; Magnoliopsida; Malpighiales; Euphorbiaceae.